AAUGAACGUUGGCGGCGUGGAUUAGGCAUGCAAGUCGCGCGACAAGGAACCUUCGGGUUCUGGAGGAGCGGCAAACGGGGUAGUAAGGCAUCGGAACGUACCCUCUUGUUGGGAAUAGCCGCGGGAAACUGCGAGUAAUGCCCAAUAAUCCCUACGGGGCAAAGGUCCGCCGCAGGAGGAGCGGCCGAUGUGAUACCAGCUAGUUGGUGAGGUAAUGGCUCACCAAGGCUUAGACGCCUAGGGGGUGUGAGAGCAUGGCCCCCACCACUGGGACUGAGAUACUGCCCAGACACCUACGGGUGGCUGCAGUCGAGAAUCUUCGGUCGAAUGGGCGCAAGCCUGACCGAGCAACGCCGCGUGCGGGAGUGAAGGCCCGUUC
This 379-nucleotide ribosomal RNA is filed under the name uncultured bacterium. RNAcentral's name for it is "bacterial SSU rRNA". It matches the Rfam family "Bacterial small subunit ribosomal RNA", at positions 29 to 419 of the family's 1533-position model. The record is from RNAcentral.